GAAAGGCUUUAGGUCAGGCAGGACGCAAGAACAUUAUUCAUGCUGACUUCCUGUCACAUGACAUGGACUAUUUGGAGCAGCAGGAAGCAGCUGUUGGUUUCUUCCCCAGUUGGGAACAAUUCCUGAUGGUUGCCAGAAGAUCUUUAUCUGCCUCCACGUCCUUUUUCCUCACGCUCAAUUAAUGGCGACCAAUGUCCGCUGAGUGCAGGACAGACACGCGGUCCUCAUCAUCCCUGACAAGCUGGGAAACAGAGGGGGGCGGGGUCAAAGGUUACAUAGGGUGACGGAGUGAUGACAGUCGCAGAUAUGCCGGAGCCUAUCCCAGCGAACUUAGGGGCAAGAGGCGGCAUACAUCCUGGAUUGGUCGCCACUCCAUCACAGGACGCCUCCUGAGAUGCAAGUGGACCUGCUGAGGAAGAAGAAGCCCAGCACAAAAGACACGACAAUCAAACAAGGUUGCCUCUGAUUGGUUCCUUUUAUUGGAGACGCCAUCAUACAACACUUCACACCGCCUUCAACAAGCAGAACCACAGCGGGCUCGGCUGGAGUCCAAAGUGCAGCAGGACAACGCAUGAGAGCACGAGGAGGAACUCUGAGAGUUCUGGUACUGGUUCUGUGGAGAGGAAGCCCUUCGUGUGUUUGAUGAAGAGCAGACGCCACGAAGCACGAAGACAUAUUCGCAAUAAAUAGUUGGUAAAAAAAGAAGGAUGUUUGGCGUCACCAUCUUUGUUUUGUUUCACCGUCAUCACGUUGAAAUGAAAUGCCAACGAAGAUGUGGUGGUGUUUGUGUUUAUUGAUACAAAGACGAGUCCACCGUCAGUCCGUCAGUGAGCUCGCAGACAACAGACAGACAUUUUGGCGGAGGGGAUGGGGGGUGGUUGGAGUUCUCAGGUCAGAUCUUGAGGUCGAAAUGGCGAUGGCGGCUCUGGCAUUCCUAAGAGUUUUCACCUGACCCGCAUCCCUCCUCAUUUGUCCAAUAAGCCGCUCCCCCCCUCCACAAAACCUCUCAUCCAAAAAGCAGGAAGUGUUUCUUUCAUGUCAU
Molecule: non-coding RNA, 1042 nt
Organism: Doryrhamphus excisus (bluestripe pipefish)
Lineage: Eukaryota; Metazoa; Chordata; Actinopteri; Syngnathiformes; Syngnathidae
Source: RefSeq, a predicted model, not a curated record